RNAcentral lists this ribosomal RNA (252 nucleotides) under uncultured Veillonellaceae bacterium. RNAcentral describes it as "partial 16S ribosomal RNA". It matches the Rfam family "Bacterial small subunit ribosomal RNA", at positions 524 to 776 of the family's 1533-position model. The record is from RNAcentral. Lineage: Bacteria; Bacillati; Bacillota; Negativicutes; Veillonellales; Veillonellaceae.
UACGUAGGGGGCGAGCGUUGUCCGGAAUUAUUGGGCGUAAAGGGCGCGUAGACGGGAAUACAAGUCUGGUUUUAAAGUUCGGGGCUCAACCCCGUGAUGGAAUGGAAACUGUAUUUCUUGAGGGCAGGAGAGGAAAGUGGAAUUCCCAGUGUAGCGGUGAAAUGCGUAGAUAUUGGGAGGAACACCAGUGGCGAAGGCGGCUUUCCGGACUGCAACUGACGCUGAGGCGCGAAAGCUAGGGGAGCGAACAGG